Molecule: long non-coding RNA, 327 nt
Organism: Balaenoptera musculus (blue whale)
Lineage: Eukaryota; Metazoa; Chordata; Mammalia; Artiodactyla; Balaenopteridae
Exons: 3
Source: RefSeq, a predicted model, not a curated record
UCUCUCUGUCACCUCCCACCCGUGCUGACCCAUCAGGCGCGCACACCCUGAGGCGGACGCAGACCCUGCCCCGUUCUCUCUGCAGCCCAAGCUGCAUUCUGCAAAUGAGCACGACCUACUUCAUGAGACCUGUUCUACCCUCAGAUACCAGGAUGAGUUGACCUGAGAUCUGAAGCCUGUUCUACUCUGGCCACCCUGACUCCUUUGCCUCCUGAAAAUCCAGUUGAAGUGUUGAGACUGCAGAAUAGAAAUAUAGAAAGAUGGGUUAUUUAUGCCAUGGUGAGAUUAACCAACCCUGUAACUGCUUUGCCAUCACCCUCCUUGUAA